GCUCGCUGCAGCCCAAACCUGUUCUCCGAGCCUUGCAUCCAGGUUGUGGGCACAGUCGCAGCAGUCCUUGCACGUUUGCCUGCUCAAAGUGUUUUGUGAAACGCAGCCAGGGCUGCAAAGUCGACAGGGAUGGAUGCUCUAUUGCCUAAUUCACAGCAAAGGGCUACUGUGACAAGAAGGAUGAUAGUGAAAGAUAAGACAGUGGAAGAUCAGCUUCUCAUCACCACUAACAUUCAAUUUCCAAACGUUCUUGGUUAAAACUGCUCUUUUCAAAUCAGGUUUUUGCAGAGUGACAAAGAAUUGCUUUAUUUUCUCUGCUCCAGUGAAGAACAGGCCUGUGUUAAUUUAUCUGGAAUAAACAUGCAUACAGCCGACAUUGUCCUCCAAUAACGUUGUUUACAGUUGUUGGCCCUGUCCAGUGUGUUGUAGAUGUGGACUGUUACAGAUGUAUGGAGUGUUAGAAAGGACUAUCUUUGCUAGGAGCAUGAAGUAGCUAUCGCUCUUUGUCUCCCUGCUAUUUUCAUUAGGUCUUAUUCAUGUGCCCCUGAGAGGGAGAGAGUCAAAGUCAUCUGCCCGCUGGUUAUUAUGCUGUUGCACAAAGGGUUUCUUCAGCCUAGAACAGGAGACUGAAAACAAGUCUGUUGAUAAAUUAUUGUGACCCCUCCUAUUCCUAUUUAGAAUCACUGCAGCUGUCUGAAGCUGAAGUUAACACCCCCAUCUGCACAUAUUCAGGGUGUUUUUACACCCGUAAAGAGAACAAGCGCUUCACGCAUGGAGAUCACUUAUCAAGAAAUUCAAGCAAGUCCUAAGCUGUCUCACAUAGCUUCU
Long non-coding RNA from Aquila chrysaetos chrysaetos, 828 nucleotides. RefSeq lists it as uncharacterized. The transcript has 3 exons. NCBI's taxonomy places the organism in Eukaryota, Metazoa, Chordata, Aves, Accipitriformes, Accipitridae. The record is from RefSeq and is a predicted model, not a curated record.